UACGGGGGAGGCAAGCGUUAAUCGGAUUUAUUGGGCGUAAAGGGCGCGUAGGCGGUUUCUUAAGUCAGGUGUUAAAGACCACGGCUCACCCGUGGGGCUGCGCCUGAUACUGAGGGACUGGAGUGCAGCAGAGGCAAGCGGAAUUCCCGGUGUAGCGGUGAAAUGCAUAGAUAUCGGGAGGAACACCAGUGGCGAAGGCGGCUUGCUGGGCUGUAACUGACGCUGAGGCGCGAAAGCCAGGGGAGCGAACGGGAUUAGAUACCCCGGUAGUCCUGGCCGUAAACGUUGUGCACUAGGUGUGGGGGGGUAUCGACCCCUUCCGUGCCGCAGGUAACCCAUUAAGUGCACCGCCUGGGGAGUACGACCGCAAGGUUGAA
This 377-nucleotide ribosomal RNA is filed under the name uncultured bacterium. RNAcentral describes it as "bacterial SSU rRNA". It matches the Rfam family "Bacterial small subunit ribosomal RNA", at positions 524 to 898 of the family's 1533-position model. The record is from RNAcentral.